This 112-nucleotide microRNA precursor is filed under the name Polistes canadensis. RNAcentral's name for it is "microRNA pca-mir-315 precursor". Its record names the gene pca-mir-315. The stretch from base 11 to 90 matches the Rfam family "mir-315 microRNA precursor family". Lineage: Eukaryota; Metazoa; Arthropoda; Insecta; Hymenoptera; Vespidae. The record is from miRBase by way of RNAcentral.
UAGGAACAUGCUCUUUAUGCUUUUGAUUGUUGCUCAGAAAGCCUUGACAACAAUAAUGGCUUUCGGGCAAUAAUCAUAAUCACGGAAGAGCAAAGAUUCAUCUUUAUCUAAU